Non-coding RNA from Stegostoma tigrinum, 3646 nucleotides. The record is from the annotation of a RefSeq genome assembly. NCBI's taxonomy places the organism in Eukaryota, Metazoa, Chordata, Chondrichthyes, Orectolobiformes, Stegostomatidae.
AAUCCCAGAAGCUCUCGCUUGGUCAGCUUACACUGACCCACAGUAAACACAGCGUGACCGCCAGAAAUCUGCUAUUUCUCAGUGAGAAGUCUGGAGAAUCUCAGCACCUUCGUAACCAGCUCCCUGUAAGUGCUCAUCAACCAAAGAGCAAUUACAAAAUCCAUUCCUCACCGUGGAACAGAACUCAAUUGUGAAUUGUGGAAACUUCUUGAGCAGACAAACCGAGAUGAAAAUGUUCUGCAUCUUUGUUCUGAUCAGCCUGCAGUUGGGUCCAGUUGUACCCCACACUGCUCUGUCGAUGCCUUCGGCUACUGUGCUCGCCCAGGAGCAAGGAUCAGUGACACUUGAGUGUUUAAGUUCUAAUGAGAAGCUCCUUAUGAAGUGGGGAUACGUGAGCCCGGGCUCUUCAGAAACCAAGUGGCUCAUGAACUGGAAGCCGGGAGAGAAAAAGGCGACUCGAAUGCCAGGGAUCGAGCCUCGCUUCUCUCAAGCCGGCGGCAGCAAAUAUGGUCUAAAAAUCGACGCCUUGAGGCUGGAGGACUCCGCCACAUACUACUGCCAGAGUGGUGAGGUAGGAGAUGACUGGUGUGCCUGUGGGACCACACUGAAGGUCAAAGCAUAUGGUUUCAUUCAGAAGCCUGUGAUCCACCUGAUCGCUCCUCUGUCUGACGCUGCCUCUGCAGGACAAAAUGUUACCAUGACUUGUUUGGUGUCAGAUUUUUACCCUGCCGAUAUUUCUGUGACUUGGAGAGAUGAGAAUGGCCCAGUGGAUACGGGAGUGACCCAGUUUGCGGUAGCUUUGGGCAGUGCCAGCACUUACCGAACAGUGACCCAGUUGACCGUGCUGACAGCAGAGUGGGAGAGUAACCGCACCUACUGGUGUGAAGUGAAACAUGUGUCCCUGGGACAGGCGCUGCAGAGAGCUGUCACCAAGGAUCUGCACGACGUCUACACUGUGAAAUCCAGUGGAGUCCCAGCGGUGGCAUCGGUUUUGUUGUGGAUUCUUGCGGCCGUGGGGUCUCUGAUUUUAGCUAUUCUCGCUGUUACCCUCAUCUACAAGAAAGCCACUUCUUCCUCCCACACUGGGGCUGGAAGACACUGAGCUUGAACUUCAGACAGGAAUCUACCUCUGUCACUGGAAACCUGUAUAGGAGCUAUGCUUACAGAUUGCAGCGAGAUGUUAAAUUUGCAUCAAACUAUAGGAUUUUUCGGACUCUUCGCUAUCAGCAGUAAUGCUUAGAUGUGUAUUAGCUGUCAGUCAGUCACACUCUGGUUUCUGAGGCAGAAGAUUGUGUUCCCAAAUUCCACCCCAGGAUUUCAGUUCAGGAAUUAAGACUGACAUGCCAUCACUGUACUGAGAGAGCUACAUUGUCUGAAGUGUUACCUUUCGUUUGAGAGACUUAUCAGAAGACCUCAUUUACCCUUGCAGCUGAGCAUAAAAAAUCCCAAAGCACUAUUGUAAAGAAGGGCAGGGGAAUUAUUCCUGAUAUCCCUCGAUCAGCAUCACACACAACAAAAAUCAGAUUAUCUGAUUGCAGUCACAUUGCUGUUUGUUGGAUCUCACUGUGCAUAAAUUGAAGGCCACAUUUCCUUCAUUGCAACAGUGGCUACAUUGUUUCAGUGGCUGAGGGGAUGAGAGCUUCUGUCGAAUGUGAGCCUAUACUUUUUUCUCAGCCCUUAGACAGUGUAAUGAAUCCUUACUGAGAAGUUUUAGCCGAGAUGCAGGAGUGAUGCUAUUCUCACUGACCAGAACGGUCAGAAACCAGAGAUGCCAGAUUUAAUAUAAUUGGCAAAAUAUUCAGGAGCAUAAGGAGAUGUUAUUUUGUGAAUUAUCUGUAUUACUGUGUCUGAAAGCAUGAUGAAGUUAACUUUAAAAGAAAACUUGCAAAGUGGAAUCGGGAUAUGUCAUUGAAAAACAAUGAAUUUUCAAUGCUCUUGGGAAAACACAGGGUGAUUGGGUUAUUUAGGUUCCUUAAAAAGCUAACAGACACUGUGGGCUGAAUGGCCUCAUGAGCUGUACAAUUCCGUGAUGCUAACUACAAUCAAACUGAGAAUUCCUUUUGUCACACUCCCAUUGUGUUUUGUAACUGAAGCCAAUUGCUGGCUCAGAAUCCAAUAGACAGGCAGUUCCCAAAAUUUAUUUACUCUGCUUUUGGCAGAAAGAAGCAUUUUGGAGGCACUGCAUUAAACCUUCAGAAUCCGAUGAUCCAGUGUACAGUGUAUGACUCUGUUGGAAUUCCUGGCUGCCUAUUACUCUCUUACACAUUGGAAGAGAAAAUAUGUACACCCAAUUAUAGGGAACUUUAAAGAAAAAAUGACAGCUCUGAUUAUGCUUACAUCAUUUCUUGGUUUAGUCUUUUAAAUAAAUUUAAAUAAUAAAAUGUGUAGGUGAGUCUCCCAAAUGCCUCUGUUCUGUGGCUUUCUGCAGUCUUUCUCCAUUUAAAAAAUUUCAGUUACUCUUCCUUCCUGCCAAAGUGCAACACCUCACAUUUCCUCACCUGAUAUUAUAUAUGCCAUGGUUUGGACCACCUGCUUAGCUUGUCCAUAUCCCUCUGCAUCCUGGCUGUUGGCCUUCCCAACUAUUUUUGUGCCAUCUGCAAAUUUUGUACAUUCACUUUCGCCAUCUGAAUCAUUCAUAUAUAUUGUAAAUACUUGUCACCCCAGCACUAAUCCCUGUGGCACUCCAAUAGCUACAGGUUGCUAUACUGAAAGUGUCUCUCUUAACCCAACCCUUUGAUUAGUCAAUCCUCUGUCCAUGUUAAUGUGUUACCUACAACACUAUAGGCUUCUGUCUUAUUAAGUAGCUUAAUGCGUGGUACUGUAACAAACACCUUCUGAAAUCUAAAUACAUUACAUCCACUGCUUCCCCUAUAUCUAAAAACCAAAAGAACUAUAGAUGCUGUAAAUCAGAGACAAAAACAGAAUUUCAUGGAAAAGUUCAGUACAUCUGGUGGUAUCGGUGGAGAGAAAUCAGAGUUAAUGUUUCAGCUCAAGUGACCCUUCCUCAGAACUAUGAAGAAUGGCACAGUGGCAAAGUGGUUAGAACUGCUGCUUUACUGCAGCAGGGACCCAGGUUCAAUCCCACCCUUGGGCGACUGUCUGUGUGGAGUUUGCACAUUCUCUCCGUGUUUGCAUGAUUUCCUCUGGGUGCUCUCCCACAGUCCAAAGAUGUGCAAGGUAGUCGGAUCAGCCAGGUUAAAUUUCCCACAGCGUUCAGGAACAUGUGGAUUAGCAGUGGGAAAUGCAGAGAUCGGGUAGGGGUGCGGGUCUGAGUGGGAUGUCCUUCAGAGGGUAGUGUGAACUUGAUGGGCCCAAUGGCCUACUUCCACACUGUCAGAAUUCCAUGACCUUUAGCUAUCCUUGUAAAUGCAUCAGAGAUGAUUUCGCCUUCAUGAAACCAUGCACAAUCUGUUUGAUAUGCUAGUUUAUUGUGAAAAAUACGCUCAUGUAUUGAUGGGUUGAACUUUGCAUUACAUUAAGGGAACUCAGAUUGUUGCUGGAUUCCCAUCAUCCAGUUUUCUAAUCAUCACAUUGGAUAUAAGAACCAGAGAUCACUUCCCUCUGAAACUCAUGAUACUGAAAUGCUGGCUUUUUUCAUGUAUUCAUUGCGUUUUGAGAACAAUUUUACAAUAAAGUGAUGACCUGU